RNAcentral lists this long non-coding RNA (720 nucleotides) under Homo sapiens (human). RNAcentral's name for it is "HSALNT0190151". The record is from RNAcentral. Lineage: Eukaryota; Metazoa; Chordata; Mammalia; Primates; Hominidae.
CUACAUUGUGUGUCAAAUCCUUUCUGAAUCCUUUUUGUUGCAUAUAUGAGAAGACAUUUAGAAAAAGAUUUUGGAAUGCCUUUAAUCUUCUAAAUCAACAAUAAAGAAAAAAAUGAAAUAAAGGUCAAGGUUUUGAUAUACUGCUUCUAAAGUACAUCCCACACUGAGUAAAACACCAUGAAAUCAUCUGUCAGAACUGACUUUCUUCCAGAGACUACAUUCCAAGAGCGUGAAGAGAGCAAAGUGGCUAUUGGAUGGUUUCCUUAGAUUCCAAUGCACCUUAAUCAUAUUCACAAGACUGUACGUUUUCAUCACUGCAGGAGCUGGCAGAAUUUUGUGACAAUUCUGGGAAAUGCUUUCAGAUGGCCCCUUCUAUGAAUUAUGAAUGUUUCACAAAGCUCUAUGGUAAAUGGAAUAGCCUUGUUCUCCACAAAUGCAGGGGUGGAUUAAGAGGUGGCCUUCCUUUGUUUCUUUGCCUUGAAAUUUAAUAUUGUUUGCAAACAGAGAAAUUAAAUCUCGAUGAAGAUCCCAACCUUCCUUGAUGAAAGGAUGCUAGGUGCUCAAUAAAUGCUUCAUGAAGAAAUGAACCCAAUCACAUGCCAGGCUUUCAGACUCAGACUGGGAUUACACCAUUGGUUCUCCAGCUCUCUGGAGAGAGAGCUUCCUGGGUCUUCAGUUUGCAGAGAGCAGAUCAUGGGUCUUCUCAGCCUCCAAAAUUGU